Molecule: ribosomal RNA, 484 nt
Filed under: uncultured bacterium
Lineage: Bacteria
Description: partial 16S ribosomal RNA
Rfam family: Bacterial small subunit ribosomal RNA
Source: RNAcentral
AUUGAACGCUGGCGGCAUGCUUUACACAUGCAAGUCGAACGGCAGCGCGGGCUUCGGCCUGGCGGCGAGUGGCGAACGGGUGAGUAAUGCAUUGGAACGUGCCCAGUAGUGGGGGAUAGCCCGGCGAAAGCCGGAUUAAUACCGCAUACGACCUGAGGGUGAAAGCGGGGGACGGAAAGGCCUCGCGCUAUUGGAGCGGCCGAUGUCGGAUUAGCUAGUUGGUGGGGUAAAGGCUUACCAAGGCGACGAUCCGUAGCUGGUCUGAGAGGACGACCAGCCACACUGGGACUGAGACACGGCCCAGACUCCUACGGGAGGCAGCAGUGGGGAAUUUUGGACAAUGGGGGCAACCCUGAUCCAGCCAUGCCGCGUGCGGGAAGAAGGCCUUCGGGUUGUAAACCGCUUUUGUUCGGGAAGAAAUCCUCUGGGCUAAUACCCCGGGGGGAUGACGGUACCGGAAGAAUAAGCACCGGCUAACUACGUG